Molecule: long non-coding RNA, 1288 nt
Organism: Bubalus bubalis (water buffalo)
Lineage: Eukaryota; Metazoa; Chordata; Mammalia; Artiodactyla; Bovidae
Exons: 2
Source: RefSeq, a predicted model, not a curated record
GGCUGUGCAGGAGGCGGGUAGGCCCCAGGUCCGGGGUAGGCACUCGGUGCAGUUGGCCCAGGAUAAGCAGGUGCUGUUGGGCCAGGGUAGGCCCCAGGAGGUCCCUGUCCAGGGUAGGCCCCAGGAGGUCCCUGUCCAGGGUAGGGGCCAGGAGGGGCCUGUCCUGGGUAAGCCCCAGGAUAGGCCGCUCCUGGGUAGCCUCCUGCCCCAGCAGGCUGGUUUCCCCAUGAACCAGGCCAACCUUGGGGGUUUGGUUUUCCAGACCCAGAUAAGGCAUCAUUAAGCUGGAAAAAAAGACAUUAAAAAAUUUAUAGGAUGAAAAACAAUCACAACAGAAUUUUCAGGAAUAUGUGAUCUAAGAAUUAGAGGGAUGUGGUGAAGAUACAAAAUUCAUAUCAAUAAAGUUUUUCCUACCUUUUAGUUUUGAGUUCCUAAGACUAAAAUUUGACUAUGGUAUUAUACAUGCUUUAUCACUUUACUCUUGCCUCCCAUCAUCUCAGAUCAUUGAGGGUUGCCUUUUUGUAAUUUGCAAAAGUCAGGAGCUAGCCAUUCUCUAUGUAAAAGCACAUACUUUCUAACUGACAUUAAAAAAAAAAAAAAAAGUCACAAAACUCAGUAUAUUCUUGGGCUGCAAAACCUGCCACCGAGCUGGCCCUGGUUGCGUUGGCCUUCACUUUGCAGGAUGUCUACUGCACUUUGGGUUGGCCAGGUAAGUUAGCACUUGGUGGCAUCCAGGCUAGUACUAGAGAGGCUGCCUUGUACACAGGGAGAAGCCUGCGAUGUAGAGUCAGAAGGUUUGGCUUAAAAUUCAGUGCCAUCCAUCAAGAAAUCCAGUGUUAUCCAUCAAGAAAUCCAGUGUUAUCCAUCAAGAAAUCCAGUGUUAUCCAUCAAGAGAUCCAGUGUUAUCCAUCAAGAGCUCCAGAAUUUCAGAGCCAUCAUGUCACCUGUAUAGGACUUAGUGUCUUUGCUUGUAAAAUGGGGAUAAUGAUCUAUUUCAUAUGAUUGUUGUGACAAACAAGUGAGGCGGCAUUUGGGACGGCUCUUUACAGACUGCGAGACCGUGCCAGUGUUGGAUUGUGUCCUUUCUCUCCAGGAAGAGACUGCUUUCUCCCUGCCUGUUUUAUACAGUGUUGAGCACACUGCCAGGUGGUACAUGGAAGAGGUCCAGUAAAGACUUCUACGUUGACUGAAUAUCAUCUGCCAGGAUUGUCUUUGAUGCAUCGGGAACACAACCCUAGAUCUGGUGUUGGGGCAACACAGUGAGGCUGUGAAGGGAGCCCAUGUGGCC